Molecule: ribosomal RNA, 448 nt
Filed under: Alteromonas sp. D48
Lineage: Bacteria; Pseudomonadati; Pseudomonadota; Gammaproteobacteria; Alteromonadales; Alteromonadaceae
Description: bacterial SSU rRNA
Rfam family: Bacterial small subunit ribosomal RNA
Source: RNAcentral
UAGAGUUUGAUCCUGGCUCAGAUUGAACGCUGGCGGCAGGCCUAACACAUGCAAGUCGAACGGUAACAUUUCUAGCUUGCUAGAAGAUGACGAGUGGCGGACGGGUGAGUAAUGCUUGGGAACUUGCCUUUGCGAGGGGGAUAACAGUUGGAAACGACUGCUAAUACCGCAUAAUGUCUUCGGACCAAACGGGGCUUCGGCUCCGGCGCAAAGAGAGGCCCAAGUGAGAUUAGCUAGUUGGUAAGGUAACGGCUUACCAAGGCGACGAUCUCUAGCUGUUCUGAGAGGAAGAUCAGCCACACUGGGACUGAGACACGGCCCAGACUCCUACGGGAGGCAGCAGUGGGGAAUAUUGCACAAUGGGGGAAACCCUGAUGCAGCCAUGCCGCGUGUGUGAAGAAGGCCUUCGGGUUGUAAAGCACUUUCAGUUGUGAGGAAAAGUUAGUAG